UGCGUAGGCGGCCCAAUAAGUCAGGUGUGAAAGCCCUCGGCUCAACCGGGGAAUUGCACUUGAAACUAUUGGGCUUGAGUCUCGGAGAGGGUGGCGGAAUUCCAGGUGUAGGAGUGAAAUCCGUAGAUAUCUGGAGGAACACCAGUGGCGAAGGCGGCCACCUGGACGAGUACUGACGCUGAGGUACGAAAGCGUGGGUAGCAAACA
RNAcentral lists this ribosomal RNA (207 nucleotides) under uncultured bacterium. RNAcentral's name for it is "partial 16S ribosomal RNA". It matches the Rfam family "Bacterial small subunit ribosomal RNA", at positions 568 to 774 of the family's 1533-position model. The record is from RNAcentral.